This 2300-nucleotide long non-coding RNA is filed under the name Citrus x clementina. RNAcentral's name for it is "Citrus clementina (C. clementina) long non-coding RNA (CCLE_LNC006454)". The record is from RNAcentral. Lineage: Eukaryota; Viridiplantae; Streptophyta; Magnoliopsida; Sapindales; Rutaceae.
AAAUUUUCAAAUUUAACACAUUAUAGGAUUCCUACAGUAAAUCAUGAUAACAAAAAUUAUAUUUUCAGAUAUGGUAAUAAAUUUUUUGUCCAACGGAAUAUUGAAAGAUAUUGUUUCAUCACGUGAGAUAAACCCUCUGAUAAACACUUAAAAGUAAUUGAUAGUAACACAAAGUUCUUUCACUCCAAAACUACGGCUAGAAAGAGGAAAAAUAAAAUUUGAGGAUUGGAGUACAAAGAAGCAACUGGAAAGAAGAUGGGGAAGCUGUGGAAAGAGAGUUUGUGAUCACAUAUUCAAACCCAAGCCAAGCUCAGCUCAGAUGAAUGCUGCUUAGAAGGGUUUAAUGCCAAAGAUAAUAGCUGCUAUGAAUGAUCAAUUGGAUGCCCCAUUUAUAACCGAGGAGAUUUCAGAAGCUCUCUCGCAAAUGUGCCCCCAAAGGCAACUGGCCCUGAUGGUUUCCAUGCAAUCUUAGUAUGUAGGCAAAGGAGUGAUCCAAACUUGCUUGCACAUUUUGAAUGAGCAAGGUAAUAUCACUCCCUUAAAUCAUACAUUCAUUGCUUUGAUUCCUAAAGUUGCCAAGCCCAGAAAGGUCAACGAGUACAAACUUAUCAGUUUAUGUAAUGUUCUUUAUGGAAUUGUUGCUAAAGUUAUUGCUAAUAGGCAUAAGCAAAUUUUCACCAUAUCAUUUCCCAAUCUCAAAGUGUAUUCAUUCCCAAUAGGCUUGUUAUUGACAAUAUAUUUAUUGGGUAUGAAUAUAAAAUAAGACAACAAAAUAAUAAGAAAUGGUUUAGUAGCUCUAAAGCUUGACAUUAGUAAAGCUUAUGAUAGAGUAGAGUAGGCCUUCUUAGAGCAUGUUAUGAGAAAAUUAGGCUUCACUAAAAAAUGCGUGCCUUUAAUUAUGAAUUGUAUUAUAACACCUUCUUUAACAGUAAUCAUCAAUGGGGUUGCCAAAGGCUUGAUCCAAGCUUAGAGAGGACUGAGGCAGGGGUGUUUACUUUGACCAUACUUGUUUAUUAUGCGUGUAGAACCUUUUCUAAUCUUCUAGUGUAGGCGGAAAGGUAGAAAUGAUAUGUGGGCUCAAGUUUGAUAAGUAAGCGACAGUCUCACAUUUGUUAUUUGUUGGUCACAAUUUUAUUUUCACCAGAGCAUCUGUCGAGGACUGUAGAAACCUAAAAGCAAUUUUUGACUGCUACGUAGCUCCCUCAAGACAAAUCUUUAACUAUGAAAAAUCUUCAAUGUUCUUCAGUUGGAAGCUUCAAGCUGAGCAAAUAAUAACCAAAGAAGAUAUCUUCCAAUUGAAUAUGGUGUCUAGAUAUAAAAAAUAUUUAGGAUUACUAUUUAUGAUUGGAAGGAAAAAGAUAAGUUUCUUUAAUGAAGUGAAGCUUUUAAGUCUUUAGUAAGAUCUCAAAUUGGCAACACUAAGCUAAUCACCAGUAGCGGCAAAGAAGUGUUAAUAAAGGUUGUGGCUUAGUGGGCUUGGCAAUUUGGGGGCUUAAGUUAGGCUUUUUCAAGUUCAAGCCCAAGUACUUAGAAACAGGCUUAGGCCCUCUAAAUACCCAUCCAGGCUUAAGUGGGUCGAGCUUAGGCUGGGUUUGGGCUUUUAUCAAACUUUUAGAUAAAUUUUUAAUAAAUCGACAAUGAUGCUUUCUUAUUUAAAAAUUGAAUGUUGUGGUCCUUCUUUCAAAAAUCAACACUGAUGCUUCACAUUAAUCCUCUAGUUGGAUCCAAUAUUGACUUGUCAGUUCAUGUACUUAUAAUCCUAAUCAAAUAUGAGAAAAUAAAACUAUUUACCAAAUUUGCAUAGUUUUACCAUAAGGUCAUUAGCAUUUCGGGCAUGGAGUAAGCCUAUUAUUGUGAAGAUCGAUUAUUGCAAAUUGUAAAGAAGAAUUACAACUUUAUAAUCACAUUAAUAUAUAUACACACACACACACACACACAUAAAUUAAAUUUUCACAAGAAAUGAAAAAAUCGAAACUAGCACUUUUUUUGUACCUCAAAGAUCACGUGAGUUCGAGACUUCGAGUGGGUUCGUUGCUGCUGUGUCCAUGCGUGCGUUGUGCUGCAGGCCCUGCUUGUGUUAGGUUCGUUGUUGUGUCGUGUGCUGGGCUCACGACUCACAUGGCUACUUGUUGCCUGCUGCAAUGAUUUUCUAACUUGCGUGCUGGGCUCAUGACGAUCAGUGGAGAUAAUGGCUGUGAGACAGUGGGGGUGUGGCUGUCGGCUGCUGGUGGUAGGCGAUUGCUGUGCUGCAGUGCUUUCGUUUCACUUGUUUAAUUUAGUGUUGGAGAUAUGGUUGCCUG